UGUUUGGACCAGGCGCAUGGUUGGCUGCAUUUGGUCGAUUGGGCACCAAAUUUCCAGUGAUACCAACAAAGUUAGUCAGAUUGUCUGGACCCUUGU
Molecule: non-coding RNA, 96 nt
Filed under: Schistosoma japonicum
Lineage: Eukaryota; Metazoa; Platyhelminthes; Trematoda; Strigeidida; Schistosomatidae
Source: RNAcentral